This 492-nucleotide ribosomal RNA is filed under the name uncultured bacterium. Its description in RNAcentral is "partial 16S ribosomal RNA". It matches the Rfam family "Bacterial small subunit ribosomal RNA", at positions 29 to 507 of the family's 1533-position model. The record is from RNAcentral.
AGUGAACGCUGGCGGUAGGCCUAACACAUGCAAGUCGAACGGCAGCACAGUAAGAGCUUGCUCUUACGGGUGGCGAGUGGCGGACGGGUGAGGAAAACAUCGGAAUCUAUUUUUUCGUGGGGGAUAACGUAGGGAAACUUACGCUAAUACCGCAUACGACCUACGGGUGAAAGCAGGGGAUCUUCGGACCUUGCGCGAUUGAAUGAGCGGAUGUCGGAUUAGCUAGUUGGCGGGGUAAAGGCCCACCAAGGCGACGAUCCGUAGCUGGUCUGAGAGGAUGAUCAGCCACACUGGAACUGAGACACGGUCCAGACUCCUACGGGAGGCAGCAGUGGGGAAUAUUGGACAAUGGGCGCAAGCCUGAUCCAGCCAUACCGCGUGGGUGAAGAAGGCCUUCGGGUUGUAAAGCCCUUUUGUUGGGAAAGAAAAGCAGCAGGUUAAUACCCCGCUGUUCUGACGGUACCCAAAGAAUAAGCACCGGCUAACUUCGUG